CGGGUGUCUGGGGCGGACGGCAAGUUUACUUUGAACAAAUUUGAGUGCUCAAAGCAGGCCUAUGCCUGACAAUUCUUGCAUGGAAUAAUGGAAUAGGACUUCGGUUCUAUUUUGUUGGUUUUCGGAUCCGAAGUAAUGGUUAAGAGGGACAGACGGGGGCAUUUGUAUGGCGGUGUUAGAGGUGAAAUUCUAUGAUCAUCGCCAGACAAACUAAAGCGAAAGCAUUUGCCAAGGAUGUUUUCAUUAAUCUGGAGCGAAAGUCAGAGGUUCAAAGACGAUCAGAUACCGUCGUAGUUCUGACCAUAAACGAUACCAACUGACGAUCCGUGGGUGCUCGUUCAUUGACCCCAUGGGCAGUCCCCGGGAAACCUUGAAGUCUUUGGGUUCCGGGGGAAGUAUGGUUGCAAAGCUGAAACUUAAAGGAAUUGACGGAAGGGCACCACCAGGAGUGGAGCGUGCGGUUCAAUUCGACUCAACACGGGAAAUCUCACCCGGCCCGGACACUGUGAGGAUUGACAGAUUGAGAGCUCUUUCUUGAUUCGGUGGUUGGUGGUGCAUGGCCGUUCUUAGUUGGUGGAGCGAUUUGUCUGGUUAAUUCCGAUAACGAACGAGACUUUGGCCUGCUAAAUAGUAUGCCUGUCCUCUGCUCUUGUGCGGGUGGCGGUAGUGGUAGCCUUUCGGGGUGAUACUGCCGUACGCCGGCGAGGGCUGCGCGGGUCUAUACUUCUUAGAGGGACAAGCGGUUUUUAGCCGCACGAAAUUGAGCA
Molecule: ribosomal RNA, 767 nt
Filed under: Lecithodendriidae sp. PACaddis-3
Lineage: Eukaryota; Metazoa; Platyhelminthes; Trematoda; Plagiorchiida; Lecithodendriidae
Description: SSU rRNA
Rfam family: Eukaryotic small subunit ribosomal RNA
Source: RNAcentral